Molecule: ribosomal RNA, 481 nt
Filed under: uncultured bacterium
Lineage: Bacteria
Description: partial 16S ribosomal RNA
Rfam family: Bacterial small subunit ribosomal RNA
Source: RNAcentral
GACGAACGCUGGCGGCGUGCUUAACACAUGCAAGUCGAACGGGAUCCGGGCUUUCGGGUUGGGUGAGGGUGGCGAACGGGUGAGUAACACGUGAGUAACCUGCCCCCUUCGUUGGGAUAACGUCGGGAAAUCGGCGCUAAUACGGGGUAUUCUUGCUGCAUCGCAUGGGGUGGUUUGGAAGGGGGUUCUGGUGGGGGAUGGGCUCGCGGCCUAUCAGCGUGGUGGUGGGGUGAUGGCCUACCAGGGCUUUGACGGGUAGCCGGCCUGAGAGGGUGUCCGGCCACACUGGGACUGAGACACGGCCCAGACUGCUACGGGAGGCAGCAGUGGGGAAUAUUGCACAAUGGGCGCAAGCCUGCUGCAGCGACGCCGCGUGAGGGAUGACGGCCUUCGGGUUGUAAACCUCUUUCAGUAUGGAACAAGGAUCCUUCUUUUGGGGGGUUUGAGGGUACGUGCAGAAGAAGCGCCGGCUAACUACGUG